AGGACGAACGCUGGCGGCGUGCUUAACACAUGCAAGUCGAACGAUGACCCGGAGCUUGCUCCGGUGAUUAGUGGCGAACGGGUGAGUAACACGUGAGUAACCUGCCCUCCACUCUGGGAUAAGCACUGGAAACGGUGUCUAAUACCGGAUACGAGCUUCCGCCGCAUGGUGAGGAGCUGGAAAGAAUUUUGGUGGGGGAUGGACUCGCGGCCUAUCAGGUAGUGGUGAGGUAAUGGCUCACCAAGCCGACGACGGUAGCCGGCCUGAGAGGGUGACCGGCCACACUGGGACUGAGACACGGCCCAGACUCCUACGGGAGGCAGCGAGGUGGGGAAUAUUCGCAACAAAUGGGACGAAAAGCCGUAGAUGGACAGGACAACGCCGCGAGGACGGGACGACCGGCCGUUCGGUUACGUAACCGUUCGUUUUAG
This 431-nucleotide ribosomal RNA is filed under the name uncultured soil bacterium. RNAcentral describes it as "bacterial SSU rRNA". It matches the Rfam family "Bacterial small subunit ribosomal RNA", at positions 26 to 442 of the family's 1533-position model. The record is from RNAcentral.